UAAUACGUAGGGGGCAAGCGUUGCUCGGAAUUACUGGGCGUAAAGGGUCCGUAGGCGGUGGGGCAUGUCGGUUGUGAAAUCUCCCGGCUUAACUGGGAGGGUGCGACCGAAACUGCUCCACUGGAGGGCCGGAGAGGCGAGUGGAAUUGCUGGUGUAGCGGUGAAAUGCGUAGAGAUCAGCAGGAACACCGGAGGCGAAGGCGGCUCGCUGGACGGCACCUGACGCUGAGGGACGAAAGCUAGGGGAGCAAACAGGAUUAGAUACCCUGGUAGUCCUAGCCCUAAACGAUGGUCACUUGCUGUGCCGGACGUACGUUCGGCGUGGCGGAGCUAACGCGUUAAGUGACCCGCCUGGGGAGUACGGUCGCAAGGCUG
RNAcentral lists this ribosomal RNA (375 nucleotides) under uncultured bacterium. RNAcentral's name for it is "bacterial SSU rRNA". It matches the Rfam family "Bacterial small subunit ribosomal RNA", at positions 521 to 896 of the family's 1533-position model. The record is from RNAcentral.